UAUCUCUUCACUUCUGUAAUUUACCUGCAUUUUGUAUUUCUUUUUAAUGUUGUAAAACAUAGAAGGUAAUCAAUGACACCACAGCAAUGAUACACUAAAAAAUAUCUGUGGUUCAAACUGUCUUUGCAGCUCUUCCAGAGGAAACAACUGUGCCAGAUGGAGACAACUGGGGAACACCACCAUCUCCACCAUCUACAGAAGAUGACUCAUUUGGGGGCUGGCAUCCAUCUUGCCCAGAUGGAUGGAGUAUGCACAGUCAACAGUGCCUCCUCUUUGUUCCAGAAAACAUGACCUGGGACGAUGCUCAGAAUAACUGUCACUCUCAUGGAGGACAGCUUGCAUCUGUGUAUGAUGACUUUCAAGCUUAUGAGAUUCAAGCAGAGCUGAAGCGUGCUGGACAUGAUCAUGGAGAAUUUUGGGUUGGAGGCCAUAAUAGUCCAGGGGUAAAUAGCAUGAUGU
Molecule: RNA transcript, 459 nt
Organism: Haplochromis burtoni (Burton's mouthbrooder)
Lineage: Eukaryota; Metazoa; Chordata; Actinopteri; Cichliformes; Cichlidae
Exons: 4
Source: RefSeq, a predicted model, not a curated record